Long non-coding RNA from Haliotis rubra (blacklip abalone), 194 nucleotides. RefSeq lists it as uncharacterized. The transcript has 3 exons. The record is from RefSeq and is a predicted model, not a curated record. Lineage: Eukaryota; Metazoa; Mollusca; Gastropoda; Lepetellida; Haliotidae.
GUGUUUCAUAUAAAUAAGUGAUUUCUGCAGGUGCGUUGCAUCUGUACAUCUCCAGUAUGUUUUCUGAGCUCUGCGUCUGUUGACUCUGUACUUGAAUCCAUUGUGGUAAAGAUUCUGACCUCUAUGAAUGUUGUCAAUCAAUGUAACCCGCACCAUAGCAUUUGCCAUUUUGACAGUGGUAACAAAAUAUUCAU